GAUGAACGCUGGCGGCGUGCCUAAUACAUGCAAGUCGAGCGAACAGACGAGGAGCUUGCUCCUCUGACGUUAGCGGCGGACGGGUGAGUAACACGUGGAUAACCUACCUAUAAGACUGGGAUAACUUCGGGAAACCGGAGCUAAUACCGGAUAAUAUAUUGAACCGCAUGGUUCAAUAGUGAAAGACGGUUUUGCUGUCACUUAUACAUGGAUCCGCGCCGCAUUAGCCAGUUGGUAAGGUAACGGCUUACCAAGGCAACGAUGCGUAGCCGACCUGAGAGGGUGAUCGGCCACACUGGAACUGAGACACGGUCCAGACUCCUACGGGAGGCAGCAGUAGGGAAUCUUCCGCAAUGGGCGAAAGCCUGACGGAGCAACGCCGCGUGAGUGAUGAAGGUCUUCGGAUCGUAAAACUCUGUUAUUAGGGAAGAACAAAUGUGUAAGUAACUAUGCACGUCUUGACGGUACCUAAUCAGAAAGCCACGGCUAACUACGUG
Molecule: ribosomal RNA, 497 nt
Filed under: uncultured bacterium
Lineage: Bacteria
Description: partial 16S ribosomal RNA
Rfam family: Bacterial small subunit ribosomal RNA
Source: RNAcentral